Molecule: long non-coding RNA, 5172 nt
Organism: Ruditapes philippinarum (Manila clam)
Lineage: Eukaryota; Metazoa; Mollusca; Bivalvia; Venerida; Veneridae
Exons: 3
Source: RefSeq, a predicted model, not a curated record
AUGGGACAGGACUUUAUUUCUUGAUAUUAGUGUUUGAACACGAAUGGCUGAACAAUGAUUUGGGCCUCUUGUGUUCCUAAACGGUUAUUUUUAUACAUGAUAUGAUUUGCACUCAAGAUAAGUGAACAAUCUUUAUUCUGAUUCAUUAAUUUUUAUACCGAUUAUUCUAUUUUAUUGUUUUAAAACCCUUCAUUUUAUUUUAUUUCUAGAAAAAGAUGACAGGAAGAUAGUUGUCCCCACUGAGAAUAAAGGACAACAUAUCAAAGCUACGCAGUUAGGGGAACCUGCAUUACAGCAAGAUAAAUAUCAGCACUCGAUAACCAAAGAAUCUGUUUUGGAAGCAGAAGAGACAAAACAAGACAUUCGAAAAAGAGAUAAACAUAUCGAUAAUUGCACUUUACAGUGAAAGCCUACAGUAUUCUAUACGAUUGCAUCUAUCUGUACAAUAUUGACUCGAUGCACUAUGAAAAGAUCAAACCUCGUUUUGUUGAUUUCUUUCAAAAUUAUUAGGGAGGAUGUGUAGCGAAGACCAUCGAUUAUAACAAUUUUACACCAAUUACUGUGAACCAAACGUAUGAUUUGUAUGGGAUACUUCAGCAUUAACUGCUCUCGGAAAUUAGAAGUCAUUAUGUGAUAAGUUAAUUCCAGACUUCACAUUCUUUAUAGUUGUUAACGUAAUUGUAUAUAUUAUAUGUAUAUUUGUAUUUGUCAUCACAUGUUUAAAAUGUUCAGUUGAUAAUUUGCAGUAGCAUUUGAUCACGUGUGCCUAAUUAAGUAUAUAAUCUAAGGUGACUUAUAGACCCAUGAUGCCGGUGUUAACUUAUCUUUGAUAUAUAUGUGUUCGUUUAUCUGUGGCAUACAGGCAUCAUAGCCUUUAGUUCCCAUUCAAAAUUCCAUUUUGUUUUGUUCUGUCCAUUGUUGUUGUUGUUGUUUUUUGUUUAAUACAUAAGCAUAGUUUACUUGGGGACUAUACGCCGCUUUCAUGCAAUAACGUGUCACUUCGAAGGUUCAAUGAUCACCGUUGUAUGAACACAUCUGCGGAUGUCUCUAAAUUCCAAUUUUACCAUUAUACUUUUGGAUCUUCUGAAGGGAUUCUAUUUCUAACUUUUUCUUAUUUCAUAUUUUUUUUUUAAAUUUCAAACUGUAUUUUGUAAUACAUGUCAACAUACUUAACAAUUUAUAUUUUUAAUAAUUUAGUUUGGUUCGAUUUUGUUGCGACGACACUUUACAGUGACACAUUUAGAAGUUCGAAGAUUUUUUUUAAACUCAUUUCUAGCUCAUUAGCACAGCAUGCACCAUGUGAGCUUUUGUGAUUCCCCUGUGUCCGUCGUAAGCAUCUUUACUUCUCCUCUAUUUCUAGUGCCGAUUAUUUUUCAGGUUGGAUCUUAGGACAGUGCCAUUCAAACAUUUGGUGUGCUAAACAAGGUCGAAUAGUGUAUAAGCUAGAAAACACCUUUAAACAUAUAUCUCCUAUUAAAUUAUUAGUAGAUUUUGUGCAACAAUACAGGAAUGAUCAAUAGAAAGUAGGUCCUAUACUGUUUUUAAUAUAUAUCCAUGACCUGCCUUUGUCUAUGGAAAAAACAGAAACUGAUAUUUUUGCUGAUGACACCACCCUUUCAACCUCUGAUGUAUCCCUAAACAGAGUAGUUGAAUCUCUUACUCAUGAUCUUUUAAAUGCCAACAAAUGGUGUGAUUUGAAUCGCAUGUCUAUCAAUGUUAACAAAACUAAGGUCAUGUAUAUUUCCUCAAAACACAAGCAAAAUUAUAUUCAUGAAAGUAAUCCUUGUAUUUUAUAUAAAACAGAGCAAAUUUUUUGUAGCUCUGAAGAAAAAUUAUUGGGUAUUACAAUUAAUAACACAUUGUCUUGGCAAAGCCAUAUUGAUAAUGUUCUUAAAAAGUGUAACUCAUUGUUACAUUUAUUAUCACGUAUAAAAUUAUUCAUAUCUAUACCUGUACGUAAAAUGUUUUACAAUGCAUAUAUUUUACCACAUCUUGAUUAUUGUUGCAUAAUUUAUGGUAACUGUACGUCUUUUCUAGAAGAUAAACUCAUUAAGUUCCAAAAGAGAGCUGCAAGACUAAUUCUAGACAAAGAUUAUGACACUCCAUCUGCUGAACUUUUUUCUGAACUCCGCUGGAUGACCUUUUCACAGAGGGUUGUUUUUCAAAAAGCUAUUAUGAUGUUUAAAAUAAUAAAUAAUCAGGCGCCUUCCUAUUUAUUGAAUAAUUUCAUUUUAUCGUCAGAUGUUCAUACUCGCAUUUUGCGUUCAUCAUCUGAUUUUCAACUUUAUACCCCUAGACCAAAUACUGAACAAUUUCGUAAGUUUUUUGUUUAUUCUGGAUCUUGUAUUUGGAACGGCCUUCCUAAUUAUAUUAAGUCUGCUACAUCUGUUAACCAUUUUAAAACCUUAUACUUGAGGUUUUAUCACGCAUUGAUGUAUACCAAUUGAUAAUCUCCUGUAUUUUUUACAUUUAUGUAUUUUAAUAGUUUGAAAAUGUUAAUUUUAUAUUGUUCCUUGUUGAGGGCCUCAUGGAAGAUUGAUAUGUUUGUUCAAAGGAGUUCUCUCGUUAAAUAAAGUCUUUAUUAUUAUUAUUAUUAUUAUUAUUAUUAAAGUCCUUAAAGAUCCUGUAUGUUUUGUGAUUGAUAUUGUCACUGUGUGUAUACCACACUUGCAAAAUAUUAUAUAUGUAUAUAAUUAUGCAAAUAAAACAAUUUUCAAACAUCCAAGAAUAUGUAAAAUGUGUACUGUAAAUAUCUGUGCACAUUACAUUUAAUCAAUAAAUUUUAUGCAUUCAUUUAUUAUUGGAAAAUUUGACUUAGAAUUUAUAGAAAAUAAAUUUCUAAUUACCUCCCUUUAUUUACAUGAAAUGUUAAAUUCGGUAAUAUCUUUAUAAAUAAUGCUUAUUGGAACUUGCAAUAUUGACAAAUCUUAAUUUGAGCAUCACAUUUAUGAAAUAAAACCAUGCAAAAAAUGUGUUACAGGAUCUUUAAAAAUGUGUCCAAAUGUUGUACGAAGUGGCCUUUGAGCUAGAAAAACAAAACAGUCUUAAAUAACAUCUUGUCCUCAAUCAUUUAAUAGAUUCUGACAAAACUUAAUAUAAAUGUUCAUUGCCAGUCCUUACUAAUUUGCUUAAAUUGUGUUGGUCUGCUGAACAAAAUGACCACAAAAGCUAAAAACGACAUCACGUCCUAAACCGAUAUGAGAGUUUUGUUAAACUGUACGGGAAUGAUCCUUGGAGGGUCCUCUGAAGAUUUUUCUCAAGUAGUUAUAAAUGGCUAAACAAGAUGAACGUCAGAGCUAUAAAAAAAAGUUGCACGUUGUUUUAUUUUCGUGAUCCAGGGUGCAAUUUAAAAACAAGUUUAGAAAAAAACAAGAAACUAAUUUAAACAUACACGUUUAGGCUUGUUUAGCGUUAAUGAACCUUUUUAGUGCAUAAACAUUUGCAUAAACGCUACGGGCUUGGGUUUUAAAAGCAUCCUAGUGGUUCAACAAAAAAUGCAUUUAUUCUCCUAGGUCCGUUGAUCAAGAUUGCGACCUGAGCUAAAACUAGAGUUUGCUUAAAAUGAAAGUUUUUAUAUACACUUGCCAGAUUCAAAUAAAACAGUAUAGGAAUAUUAAUUAUAUGAUCUUUUAAAAAUAUUGUUCCGGUCUGAAUAUUCAAAUGACUGCCAAAGCAAACGAAAGAAAUAAGUUUAAAUGAAUUUUUCUUAGCUGCUUGUUAGAUGUUAAAUGAUCCUUGGUUGAAGGAAAUGAAUGAUCACUACUGAAAUAUUAUGGUAUGUGGUUAAACUUGUCUUUUCCUAGGUUAGAAGUGAAGGAAUUCAUUGUAGAAUGUCUAUUCUAAUAUGACGCGUGAUUUUGUCACAAUUAAUAACGAAGAAAAUAACCGGUGUUAAACUUCCAAUAAACAUGGCUGUUCUUUUUGUCAUGUUAAUCUUCCAAUAAAUAAGGUAAUAUUUAACGACCACAACAGGUAAAAUCAUAUUGGUAUUUCCCCUUAUAUAAUGUCAUAUCCAUAUCAGUUGGAAAUUAUAUUAGAAAAGUUUAAAUCAUAAAAAGCGAAAUGACGUCAUCUAGAAUAUAACUCAUUCGUAAAAAAAACGCCACAUGGGUUAGUAUGAAGAUUGAUUUACCUAGCACCUGUGUAAAGUACCUGAGGUAAAAAAGGCCCCAUCCUUGGGGUAACUUAAUUUAUAUGCACUUUUAAAUUGUACCGUAAAAUGUCAUUAAAAUCUAUUUACUGAAAGUACCAAACGCAGAGCUUAUAUACUUGUAGAAUCACCCGACUUGUUAUCCUCUACAAACGUUAUAUAAAGCAUGCUCUUUUGGUCAAAAUUUGCCACAUCCUUGGGCGUGUAUACAAACGUUAUAUAAUUUAUACCCCUGAGGUCAAAUAUCCCACUUAGGGUCACUUGAACAGUAGAAUUAAUUAAAACAUUAUCCUCUGAAAGUCCAAUGCUCAGUGGCUAGAGAUACGAUCGAGGGGCAUAUUUCAAUCAGGCAGCGCGUUUUUAUUAAUAAGUCAUACCUUUUUAAAAAUGUUAAGUAGAGUCCUUCAAAAUAUUUGUCAUGGACCUCUAACACACUUUUCCAGCCUCAGAAUCCUUGUCAAAUGAGCAUUUUUAAACUGUUCUUUUGGUAUUUUUUAUACCGGAAGAGGGCGCUUCCGACGGCACUAUGGGUUUCAAAUUUGAUGUAUAGAUUAAACCAAAUGUCGCAAGGAGAGAGGUCAGGACGUUAAGUGGGAUAUAGUAAAGCCUCAAUUCUCUGCUCCUCUUAAUAAGCUUGAACCAGGGGUGACCGGUGCGCAUGCGCAUUAUCAUAGAGCUAUUUGAUCCUGUGUACCCGGAUCUUGAGAUCUUUGUGACAGCAGAACAUGAUCAUGAUAAAAUGUUCCAGUGACAUUACCUCUCUCAGGCACAGCGACACGGACCAAUAUUCCAUUAUUGUCAAUAAAUAGAGCGUACAUAACUAUUUAACGAUCCUGCUUCGUCAAGCAACAACUGCACGAUCGCUGUUUUCACUUACAACAUUUUGUUAUUGACUUAUUGUCGAGCUCAAAAAAUUAAGCAACCUUUCAGCCCCUGUGACAAUUUUUCCGAGGCGUUUACAGACUCGAUCUUUGAACCUAGUCAAUAAGACCGAGGCUUUUUCAACCCGCUUCUUGAUCUGC